UCAACUUCUCAAAAUGAGGUUCCCUUCUCAGCUCCUGGGGCUGCUGAUGCUCUGGGUCCCAGGUUCCAAUGGGGAUGUUGUGAUGACACAGACCCCGCUCUUGCUGCCCGUAACCCCUGGAGAACCGGCCUCCAUCUCCUGCAAGGCCAGUCAGAGCCUUGUACACAGUAAUGGAAAUACCUAUUUGGAUUGGUACCUGCAGAAGCCAGGCCAGUCCCCACAGCUCCUCAUCUAUGAGGUUUCCAACCGUUUCACUGGGGUCCCAGACAGGUUCAGUGGCAGCGGAUCAGGGACAGAUUUCACUCUGAGAAUCAGCAGGGUGGAGGCUGAUGAUGUGGGAGUUUAUUACUGUGGGCAACGUACACAUUUUCCUCCCACAGUGGUUCAGGCCUGAACACAAACCUCUCUGUU
Molecule: non-coding RNA, 411 nt
Organism: Mustela erminea (ermine)
Lineage: Eukaryota; Metazoa; Chordata; Mammalia; Carnivora; Mustelidae
Source: the annotation of a RefSeq genome assembly